ACCCCUCAGUUUGGUCUCUGCUCCUGCUUCUUAUCUAUGGAGGAACUUUGCUAUAAACUGAAGCUCUGAACAAAGGACUGAAUGACCCAUCCAAGCUGUGGAUGUGUUCCAGAGGGACUUUCAAGCCA
Chelonoidis abingdonii (Abingdon island giant tortoise) is the source of this 128-nucleotide non-coding RNA. NCBI's taxonomy places the organism in Eukaryota, Metazoa, Chordata, Testudines, Testudinidae. The record is from RefSeq and is a predicted model, not a curated record.